RNAcentral lists this long non-coding RNA (418 nucleotides) under Gallus gallus (chicken). RNAcentral describes it as "lncRNA (ENSGALG00010018257.1)". Lineage: Eukaryota; Metazoa; Chordata; Aves; Galliformes; Phasianidae. The record is from RNAcentral.
CCUGUGCCAGUGCUUCUCUACCCUUACUGUAAAAAGAAACAUCUUAGAUCCACAGUCUAAAUCUCCUUUCUUUUAGUUUGAACAAAGGAUGCAGAAGAACUGGAACAGUGAGACAAGGUAGCAGAAGAGUCUAGCAGGAACCAAAGGGAGCAGGACCCUAAAGAAAAAUGACAGAAUACAAAAGUUGAGGAUUUUUUUGAAGGAGAAAAGAAGAGAAAAAGAAAACAAGAUGAAAAUGAGUUACACUUCCUGGAGUGAAGAUGAGAGUUGAACCUCAGGAGAGCAUGGUUUACAACCACUAAAAGGGAAUGAGAAGAAAGCUGCAGCCUUCCAGGAAGCUGGUAGGAGCUCAGCUAUGCACGAUCCCUGGGGCUCUGCUCUGGUGUUAUCUAUUUGCUUGAGGCCAACAUCAUCUUCC